GUGUACAGUCAUAUCACCCUGAGCAUGUCCAAUCUUAUGUGAUCUCAGAAGUUAAGUAGGGUCAGGCCUUUUUAAUACUUGGAUGAAAGACAUAAAACAGAUUUAGGGAUUUGGAACCU
Molecule: ribosomal RNA, 119 nt
Organism: Urocitellus parryii (Arctic ground squirrel)
Lineage: Eukaryota; Metazoa; Chordata; Mammalia; Rodentia; Sciuridae
Source: Ensembl